UGGGGAAUAUUGCACACUGGAGGGAACUCUGAUGCAGCGACGCCGCGUGAACGAAGAAGGCUUUCGAGUCGUAAAGUUCUUUUAUAUGGGAAGAUAAUGACGGUAUCAUAAGAAAAAGCCCCGGCUAACUACGUGCCAGCAGCCGCGGUAAUACGUAGGGGGCUAGCGUUGUCCGGAAUCACUGGGCGUAAAGGGUUCGCAGGCGCAAAUGCAAGUCAGGUGUAAAAGGCAGUAGCUUAACUACUGUAAGCAUUUGAAACUGCAUAUCUUGAGAAGAGUAGAGGUAAGUGGAAUUUUUAGUGUAGCGGUGAAAUGCGUAGAUAUUAAAAAGAAUACCGGUGGCGAAGGCGACUUACUGGGCUCAUUCUGACGCUGAGGAACGAAAGCGUGGGUAGCAAACAGG
This 403-nucleotide ribosomal RNA is filed under the name bacterium. RNAcentral describes it as "partial 16S ribosomal RNA". It matches the Rfam family "Bacterial small subunit ribosomal RNA", at positions 355 to 776 of the family's 1533-position model. The record is from RNAcentral.